UGGCGCGGCCCCGCCCCCCCGCGUUGCUAGGGGCGACGGUGACAGCCCUUCCCUGCACAUGGCGGGGCCGGAGCUGCCGCGCCCGGUGACAAGGUGUUUAGCGGAGGUUGCAGAUUUGUUGGGAGCUGCCAGCCAAGUGUUUCAAAUACCGAGCGCACAACACACCGCCCAACGCGCAGCGGCUGAGCAGCUAACUUGAAAGAUGAGGGCCCCUUGGGAGUCUGCCCACCCUCGGGUGCACGGUCGGCCCCAGGCGCUUCGGGGAUGUGAUUAACCGACACGUGUCUUGGCGCAAGGGCCACUGAAGUGGUAAGAGGCGACGCACAGCUAGAUCCAGUGAGGUUCCAGCGAGGACCGCACAGAAGCACGAGGAGGAAAAAUGAUCUUGGCGAGAACGACUGCGCAUCGAUUCAGUUGGGAUGGAACGACAGUGCAAACGCAAUGUCUGCUUGUCGGUUCAGAACGGCAGACUUUAGCGAACGGAGGGGAGCAGUCAGUUCACGUACACCGUGGAGCGCGAGGACUUGAGUGCGGGGAGGCCUGGGGUUUCCUGAUAAAAACUGUGUGGAAUUCGCAUCUCCAGAUGAGGUUAAAAAAACCCAAACCUUGUAGGGAAGUUGGCUACAAGUAACGGAAAAGGGGAUCGAUCAGUUAAGUAAGCUAUGUUUUGGAGAUCAGAAAGUCUAGGGAUAGAAUAAGCCACAAGUCCAGCCGAGUUAGAUUUUGUAAACGAAAUUAAGAUUUUUCAGCCAGGUGAAUAAAGCGAACAAGGAAAGAAGUGCAGCUCGUAGGCAGUGAAGCUGAGGCAGAGAAUCAGCAAAGCUAACUUAGGUAUGGCUCACCACUGAACCAUUACGAUGUCUCAUUUUUCAGUGAGGACAAUGAUGUUGGCCAAGGGACAAAGGCAGGGUGACUAGUGGGAAUAAGGGUAUAGGGAUAGAGUAGACUAGAAAUUACCACAACUGGUAUGGAAGUAAAGCUCUAAGUUUAACACAUUCAAGUCAGGGGGACUGGAUUAUUUCUGUCUUGGGUUAUGGAAGGAGUGGGCACAUGGAAUCACAAAUCUUGUAACAGGGAUUGUUAAUAACUCCAUCCAGUGGGUAAUGUGCUAUAGCAAAAGUAUUGCUGGUAUAUAAGAAAAGGAAAAUAAAUGGUCUGAACAACUAGAGGCUCACAGGCCUGAAAGCUUUAAAUACAUUUUGAGGGAACUACUAAUUAGACAUAAAUAGAAAGUGGGAUAUAAUGCAACAUUGGCAUAUCAGAGGUGUAUCGUGAUAGACUAACCUGGUAUCUUUGAUAAAACAUCUUAUUUUCCAAACAAGGAAAAAUGGUAGAUCUUAUCUAUCUGGACUUCAGUAAAGCUUCUGAUGUGGUGCCAGGUGAGAAACUAUGAGCUAAACUGAAGAAAAAGUAGAUUAGUAGAAGUGUAAGAGUGGGUAAGAAACCAACGAAAAAAGCAACUGCAACAGGUUAACUUCAGUGAGCACAAUUCCUUCAAGAUCGGUUCUAAAAACAAACUUACUAAAUAUUUUCAUUAGCUAUCUUGGCACACAAACCAAGAGUGUGCCAAUGAAAUGUAUCAGCGGUACAAAGUUGAAGAGCAUAAUUAAAACAGGAGGAUCUGAAUAUCACGUAGGAAGAGCUGGAUGAUUACGUUUUAAGGACUGGGCAACACAUGGGAUUAAAUUCAGUAGUACAAAGUACAAAUAACAGGCAUUUAGGGACUUAUAGUGAGAAUUUCAGUUUUAAGAUGUGAGCUCAUCAGUUGGAAAGACAGAGGGACAGAGACUUGGGAGUAUGUGUCUAUUAAAGGAUGACUAUAUACCAAGUGUGUGAUUCAGCUGUGAAACAGCAAAUUCAAUUCUAGGAUGUAUCAGGUGACUUAUUUCAGUAGAGACACAUUCAUGGAAUCGCAUCCAGCUUGUAGGUUGAAGCGAAAAUUAACUCAACUUUAAAAGUGUUGGAAAAGGUCAGUGCAACACUUUAGCACUGGCAAUUAGUCUUAUGUGUCACAUAAGUCUUGUACUGCUCUGCUGACCAGUAGGAAAUGGAUUUUAUAGCAUAACUGGUAGGGGAUUGUAUAUUUAAAGGUGAUAUUUUAAUAGGUGCACAAGGGGUAGAGUUAAGGUGACAACAUUUACUUGUGGAUACCCAGAGUAAUUAAAGAUUUAGUUUGCAAUUUUAGUAUUUUAGUUAAGAAAUUAAUUUUGCUUAUAAGAAUUUAAAAAAUAUAUAUUAUUUUGUCCCUGGUACAACUUUGUUGAAACAGGUAGAUUGACUAGUCUUGCAUUUUGUCCUAGUAUGUUCAAGCAAUAGAUUCAAUAACUUUCAUUCUAUUUGGAUGUCAUAUUUUAUGUUGUUAUUAUAACUGGUAAUUUUCUAUUUAUGAUAAACAUGACACUAGCUAUUUGUUAAUUGAAAUAUGUCUGGAGAUGGACUAGCUGAGCUAAAUGGAAGCUGUUUAAUCUCUGAUUUAUGUGAUUCUCUCUGAAAGGCCCAUUUUUCAGUUAGAAUGGAAAAGAACAGAAGCAUUAAACUUAUCAUUAUUUAUAAAAUGUACCCAUGCUAAACUUGCAUUUAUAUAACAAAAUCAGCAUAGGUAAAUUAAAUAGUAAUCAUAUGAAUAUAUUAUUUUUUGAAAACAGCUUUCAUUAAAGACUCAGUGAAGUUUCUCAGUGGUAAUGAACUUUCCUAACACAUUUACAAAACCAAAAUGCCUAAAAAGAAGAAACCUGCUAAUUCAAGCUAUUGUUGACUGUUCACAUAAUAAGCACAUUUUUCUGA
Long non-coding RNA from Alligator mississippiensis (American alligator), 2784 nucleotides. RefSeq lists it as uncharacterized. The transcript has 2 exons. Lineage: Eukaryota; Metazoa; Chordata; Crocodylia; Alligatoridae. The record is from RefSeq and is a predicted model, not a curated record.